Bactrocera oleae (olive fruit fly) is the source of this 657-nucleotide long non-coding RNA. RefSeq lists it as uncharacterized. The record is from RefSeq and is a predicted model, not a curated record. Lineage: Eukaryota; Metazoa; Arthropoda; Insecta; Diptera; Tephritidae.
CGCACAAGCAAAGAUGCCUGAGCAGGGGCGUUAUCGUGGUGCAAAAGCUAGUUUUUGUUCUAACACAAAUCCGGCCGUUCAGGUAAUUUCUGAUAGACAGACUUGAUACGGAGCAGCAUUGCGACUAUUCUUGCUAUUAUGGUCAGUCGUUAUGGGGUCGUGUUGAGCUACGAGACGAAGGCCCAAUACGCCUCCGAAUUUACACCAACCUCGGUACGUGAUCGCGGCAUGGCGAAUAUACAAGUUACCGGCUUCGGUUUCAGCAGCCUUAGCUCUUAUGUAAUCUCUUUGUUAAACCACUGCCGUCCAUUUGUAUCUCGAUUUUAUUAUAUUUGGGUGCGAUUUUAUGUUUGGCUUUGCCAGAAAUAAUAACCAAAAAUUACGGCAGACCUUGAAAGAUGGCGAAGAGUUCGCGCGACACCAACGCUGGUACUACUUUCCAUACUUCGAUAGUAAUAGAAAGAGCACAGAUGCUGAGAUUAGCAAUGGAUUUUAGCGCUCAUCAUGCUUCAUGUGUAUUUAGUAUUUUAUUAGUAAUGUAUUUAAAUUUCACAACGCAAUUUAAGUGCCAAUUCUAAAUUUAUUUACUGUCAUUGUCAUUGUUUUUCUUUUUUUAAUAAUUAAACCAAAUUUAUGCAGAGUUAUUACGCAAAGGGG